This is a transfer RNA of Cavia porcellus (domestic guinea pig), 71 nucleotides long. It matches the Rfam family "tRNA". Rfam says of the family: Transfer RNA (tRNA) molecules are approximately 80 nucleotides in length. The record is from Rfam. Lineage: Eukaryota; Metazoa; Chordata; Mammalia; Rodentia; Caviidae.
GGGGAUUUAGCUCAGCGGCAUAAGCGCCUGCCUUGUAAGCAGGCAGUCAUGGAUUCGAUCCCCAGUACCCA